GGAGAGGUGGCCGAGCGGUCGAAGGCGCACGCCUGGAGAGCGUGUAGACGGUCUCCGUCUCGAGGGUUCGAAUCCCUCCCUCUCCG
RNAcentral lists this transfer RNA (86 nucleotides) under Inmirania thermothiophila. It matches the Rfam family "tRNA". From Rfam's summary of the family: Transfer RNA (tRNA) molecules are approximately 80 nucleotides in length. Their secondary structure includes four short double-helical elements and three loops (D, anti-codon, and T loops). Further hydrogen bonds mediate the characteristic L-shaped molecular structure. tRNAs have two regions of fundamental functional importance: the anti-codon, which is responsible for specific mRNA codon recognition, and the 3' end, to which the tRNAs corresponding amino acid is attached (by aminoacyl-tRNA synthetases). tRNAs cope with the degeneracy of the genetic code in two manners: having more than one tRNA (with a specific anti-codon) for a particular amino acid; and 'wobble' base-pairing, i.e. permitting non-standard base-pairing at the 3rd anti-codon position. The record is from Rfam by way of RNAcentral. Lineage: Bacteria; Pseudomonadati; Pseudomonadota; Gammaproteobacteria; Chromatiales; Ectothiorhodospiraceae.